GUUGUGAGUGUGAGGUCAGUUAUUUGUCUGGUAUGUUUGGUGUAUUGCCCGGCAUGGUUGCUAGACAUCCCCUUGUUUGUCUGUACCUCUAGUGAGGGGGUCCCAGGGGUUCCUCGUAGGGGGAACCACAAGUCAGCAAGCAGUAGUUGUU
Long non-coding RNA from Bufo bufo (common toad), 151 nucleotides. RefSeq lists it as uncharacterized. The transcript has 4 exons. The record is from RefSeq and is a predicted model, not a curated record. NCBI's taxonomy places the organism in Eukaryota, Metazoa, Chordata, Amphibia, Anura, Bufonidae.